GUCUUUUUGAGUUAUUUUUAAAGUCUGACCUGCCCACUGAAUUUUUUAAAUGGCCGCAGUAUUCUAACUGUGCAAAGGUAGCAUAAUCAUUAGUCUUUUAAUUGAAGGCUGGUAUGAACGGUUGGACGAGGUAUAAGCUGUUUCAUAUAAAUUUACAUUAGAAUUUUAUAUUUUAGUCAAAAAGCUAAAAUGUAGUUAAAAGACGAGAAGACCCUAUAAAUCUUUAUAUUUUAUAUGAUUUAAGUUUUUUUGAUUUGUUUUAUUUUUAUUGUAUUAAAUAUUUUGUUGGGGUGAUGUUAAAAUUUGAUGAACUUUUAAUUUUUUUAAGUCAUUAAUUUAUGAAUUAUUGAUCCAUUAGUAGUGAUUAUAAGAUUAAGUUACUUUAGGGAUAACAGCGUAAUUUUUUUUGGAGAGUUCUUAUCGAUAAAAAAGUUUGCGACCUCGAUGUUGGAUUAAGAUAUAGGUUUAGGUGUAGCCGCUUAAAUGUUAAGUCUGUUCGACUUUUAAAUUCUU
This 513-nucleotide ribosomal RNA is filed under the name Dacus durbanensis. Its description in RNAcentral is "partial 16S ribosomal RNA". It matches the Rfam family "Bacterial large subunit ribosomal RNA", at positions 1829 to 2597 of the family's 2925-position model. The record is from RNAcentral. Lineage: Eukaryota; Metazoa; Arthropoda; Insecta; Diptera; Tephritidae.